This 666-nucleotide ribosomal RNA is filed under the name Triticum aestivum (bread wheat). RNAcentral describes it as "partial small subunit ribosomal RNA". Lineage: Eukaryota; Viridiplantae; Streptophyta; Magnoliopsida; Poales; Poaceae. The record is from RNAcentral.
AUGGUAGACUUUGUGAUUCUUUGUACGGGAAGGUUUAGCAAUUAUCCCAACAUACCCAAUUUCCCUCCUGGUAGAGGCCCAGAAGCAUUUGAUGGGAAAGUGAUCCACUCCAUGGACUACUCCAAAAUGGGUAGUGAGAAAGCUAAGGAGAUGAUCAAGGACAAGUGUGUGACUGUCGUUGGCUAUGGAAAUUCAGCCCUUGACAUUGCUAAUGAAUGCGCAAAAGUAAACGGUAUGGAGAAACCAUGCACAAUGGUAGUCCGAACCAAGCAAUGGAUCAUACCGAACUUCUAUGCUUGGGGUAUUAACAUAUCAAAUUUCUAUCUAACUCGUUUUGCUGAACUCCUUAUUCACAAGCCCGGUGAAGGUUUCCUCCUUAGCAUAUUAGCUACCGUCUUGACUCCAUUGAGGUUGAUGAUUUCAAAGUUUGCUGAGAGCUACUACUCCAUUCCAAUGAAGAAGCAUGACAUGGUGCCUGACCACAGCUUUUUUGAGGGGAUGGUGGGAUGUAUGCUUUCCACUACACCCAAGGAUCAUUACAAUAAUCUAGAGGAAGGCAUCAUCGUUAUUAGAAAGUCGAAGACCUUUGGCUUUUGCAAAGAAGGUGUGCUCGUUGAAGGUGAAUCUACGUUGGUAAAGAGUGACAUAGUUAUUUUCGGAACAUGA